This 460-nucleotide ribosomal RNA is filed under the name uncultured bacterium. RNAcentral's name for it is "partial 16S ribosomal RNA". It matches the Rfam family "Bacterial small subunit ribosomal RNA", at positions 338 to 795 of the family's 1533-position model. The record is from RNAcentral.
CCUACGGGAGGCAGCAGUGAGGAAUAUUGGUCAAUGGGCGCGAGCCUGAACCAGCCAAGUAGCGUGAAGGAUGACUGCCCUACGGGUUGUAAACUUCUUUUAUAAAGGAAUAAAGUGAGGCACGUGUGCCUUUUUGUAUGUACUUUAUGAAUAAGGAUCGGCUAACUCCGUGCCAGCAGCCGCGGUAAUACGGAGGAUCCGAGCGUUAUCCGGAUUUAUUGGGGUUAAAGGGAGCGUAGAUGGGUUGUUAAGUCAGUUGUGAAAGUUUGCGGCUCAACCGUAAAAUUGCAAUUGAUACUGGCAGCCUUGAGUACAGUUGAGGUAGGCGGAAUUCGUGGUGUAGCGGUGAAAUGCUUAGAUAUCACGAAGAACUCCGAUUGCGAAGGCAGCUUACUAAACUGCCACUGACAUUGAUGCUCGAAAGCGUGGGUAUCGAACAGGAUUAGAUACCCCUGUAGUC